RNAcentral lists this unclassified non-coding RNA (329 nucleotides) under soil metagenome. RNAcentral describes it as "partial contains 5.8S ribosomal RNA, internal transcribed spacer 2, and large subunit ribosomal RNA". The stretch from base 1 to 120 matches the Rfam family "5.8S ribosomal RNA", at positions 35 to 154 of the family's 154-position model. The record is from RNAcentral.
GAUGAAGAACUCAGCGAAAUGCGAUAAGUAGUGUGAAUUGCAGAAUUCAGUGAAUCAUCGAAUCUUUGAACGCACAUUGCGCCCCUUGGUAUCCCGAGGGGCAUGCCUGUUCGAGCGUCAUUUCACCACUCAAGCCUGGCUUGGUGUUGGGCGACGUCCCCUUUGGGGACGCGCCUCGAAACGCUCGGCGGCGUGGCACCGGCUUUAAGCGUAGCAGAAUCUUUCGCUUUGGAAGUCGGGGCCCCGUCUGCCGGAAGACCUACUCGCAAGGUUGACCUCGGAUCAGGCAGGGAUACCCGCUGAACUUAAGCAUAUCAAUAAGCGGAGGA